This 475-nucleotide ribosomal RNA is filed under the name uncultured organism. RNAcentral describes it as "partial 16S ribosomal RNA". It matches the Rfam family "Bacterial small subunit ribosomal RNA", at positions 335 to 801 of the family's 1533-position model. The record is from RNAcentral.
ACUCCUGCGGGAGGCAGCAGUGGGGAAUUUUGGACAAUGGGCGAAAGCCUGAUCCAGCAAUGCCGCGUGUGUGAAGAAGGCCUUCGGGUUGUAAAGCACUUUUGUCCGGAAAGAAAUCCUUGGCUCUAAUACAGUCGGGGGAUGACGGUACCGGAAGAAUAAGCACCGGCUAACUACGUGCCAGCAGCCGCGGUAAUACGUAGGGUGCGAGCGUUAAUCGGAAUUACUGGGCGUAAAGCGUGCGCAGGCGGUUUGCUAAGACCGAUGUGAAAUCCCCGGGCUCAACCUGGGAACUGCAUUGGUGACUGGCAGGCUAGAGUAUGGCAGAGGGGGGUAGAAUUCCACGUGUAGCAGUGAAAUGCGUAGAGAUGUGGAGGAAUACCGAUGGCGAAGGCAGCCCCCUGGGCCAAUACUGACGCUCAUGCACGAAAGCGUGGGGAGCAAACAGGAUUAGAUACCCGAGUAGUCCCAUGAU